ACAAACUUGGUCAUUUAGAGGAAGUAAAAGUCGUAACAAGGUUUCCGUAGGUGAACCUGCGGAAGGAUCAUUGUAGAAAGUGAUGUAUGUGGGUGAAAGAGGUUUGUUUCUCUCUUCUAGCCACAAACAUUAACAUUCAUUAUCCAAUUAAACCUGUGCAAGAAUUGUUUGUAACAAAACAAAAACCUUUUUGUUUUGUCCAUUACAUUUCAUCUUUUCUUAUUCAUUUAAUGAAUAAGUAGGGAAGGAAUAAGUGGACAAACGAAUCAUUUAAACCGAGUAAAUUGUUGUGUCAGCUUUUUUGAAAUUAUAAAAAAGAAAAACUUUCAACAACGGAUCUCUUGGUUCUCGCAUCGAUGAAGAACGCAGC
This 370-nucleotide unclassified non-coding RNA is filed under the name uncultured fungus. Its description in RNAcentral is "partial contains small subunit ribosomal RNA, internal transcribed spacer 1, and 5.8S ribosomal RNA". The stretch from base 1 to 73 matches the Rfam family "Eukaryotic small subunit ribosomal RNA", at positions 1759 to 1831 of the family's 1831-position model. The record is from RNAcentral. Lineage: Eukaryota; Fungi.